Molecule: long non-coding RNA, 3686 nt
Filed under: Homo sapiens (human)
Lineage: Eukaryota; Metazoa; Chordata; Mammalia; Primates; Hominidae
Description: PREDICTED lncRNA (TCONS_00160886)
Source: RNAcentral
AUUGCUUAAAGUGCAAAGCUCACUGCUGUUGGGGGUACCCUUGUGAGACACUGGAAAGCUGGUUUUACCGUGGCCCUAUGAAGAGGAAGACUGAAAUUUAGACAGUAAUACCUUUACUAGGAUUGGAAAAGAUUUGGUUAAUGACAGCCCUGUCAUUUCUAAAACCCAUUAUCACUGUAUGAGAGAUUCCUUUGCGCUGCAUCCUCGACAGUGCUUCCUAAGGCUCUGCCGACUUCCAGUUCUGGAACAAGAUGGUUAAACUCAUUUUUCCCUGCUCUGCUCCUCUAAAUACAACUAAGUACCUUGGAAACUAUUCAGCAGACAAUGAUAAAGGGCUCUGAAAGCUAGAAGAAAAGGUGUACUUGCAAGAAACCUCAGGACUUGAGUAACAGCAACAUGUCUUGGACGAGCCUGAGGAUGUCUACAAGUGGAAGAAAAGAAGCCACUGGAGCAGAAGGUGGGGAGGAUAAAAUUUGGAGCAAGAUUCUCAAGGAAGCAACAAGAUCCUAAGGUUCUUCUGAGCUAUGAAGGGGCCCAGAUUUAAGGGCUAUUUUUGACACCCUAAAUGUGCUGAGACAAGUCAUUAAGGUGGUCCUGCCAGGACACAGCCAUCUAAAGCAGCAAUCUGCUUCUUGCCAGAAAAUCUCGUGCCUCUGCAGAGCCUUUUCCAGAAUGAACCACACCAUGCUGAGGAAAGGAGAAAGAGACUACCUACUGCAUUUCUGUCACUCGCUGAAAAGGACACUCUGUCAGAAAAUCUUCUAGCAAACUUCAAAGGGCAAAAUCACCCCUUGUUACUGAUAAAGCCCAGAGAGCUUCAGCAGCUAACAUUCCCUGGACAGGGCACAGCAAGGAUUUGAACCUAGGUCAGUCUGGCCAGAACACCCACAAGCUUUCCUUAACUCAGUGUGCUAUCUCCCCACGACUAGGUCACUACUGCUUUAUAAUCACCUUUGUAGCCACCAGUGGAUUUUGCUCAUCAGUAUUUUUCAGGCAAUUGAUACUUUAGAUAUUCAGCUGCAAGACGUAUGCAGUUUUCAUUGACAUCUUUUGGAGAAACUGACAAACCUGGACUUGACUUAAUGCCUUUGGAACCUUCCAAGAUGUUAUAUAACUCUAGAUAGAAGGCUGGGCCUCCAUGAUGUCAGGAAUGUUGCAUUCUUAUUUCCCCAUAGAUAAACCCAUUUGUCCACAAAGUCAAGGAGUCAGGCAGAGGCCCUUGCCAUGGGGCUUUUUAGGAUAAAGCAACAAGCCUGGACUUUGCUCUACAACAGGGUUUUGCAUAGGGAGUGGUAUGACCAGAUCCCUCAAGAAAGAAAGCUUAGAGACCAGGCCAGAGUCCACUGCAGUAGCCCAGUCAAGAGAGGAUGGUGACUUGGACUUGUAGUAGAGCCAGUUAGAAUGAAAGAAAUUGACACAUUCAGAAAUGGUUUUAGAGAUAGAGUCAAACUGGACCUGAUAAAGAACUAGAGAAGCGGAGUGAGGAUAAAGAGAAGAGCCAUGACUGACUCGGAAGAUUUUGUCUUGAAAAACUUGAGAACUCAAGACAGAGUGAAAUAAAAUCACAUGUGGGAAAAAUCUCCUGCUUUGUUUUGGACUACUUUGAAGUGAAAUGCCUGUUAAGCCUAAGUGGGGUAGGUCAUGGCGUACAUGACUGUGGGCUCAGGAUGGAUACAGGCAUUCAGGAGUUGUGAGCAAAUAGAACUUAAAGCCAUGAGAGAAGAAGGGAUCACCAAGAGAGACAGUGUGGCAUAGAGAAGAAAAGGGGUGGAAGACGAUCCCUGGGCAGAAAAGUCCUUAGAGCAGAGGCAACAGGCAUGACCAAGAAGACUAAGAAAGAACAUUCAGUACAGCAGGAGGAGAGCAAAAAAUGUGUGGUAUUCUAGAAGCAAAGAGAAUAAAGGGCUUCAGGAAGGAGCAGUCAAGUGUGUCAAAUAAGAUAAAGACAGACAAGUCCCCUGGAUUGGGUAGGAAUAAAAUAACAACAGACUGCCAUACAAAUGGUUCUAUCUACACCAUCUAAAAGAAUAUAGUUUAUUCUCCAUACAUUUAAGAAACACCUGCCAUAUGCCAGGUAUCCUUUCAAGCACUGAAAUGCAGAUUCAUAAAACAUGGUCUCUGCUCUCAAGGAGCUCACAGUGGUAAGGAGGAAACAGGCAAUAGCGAGUGUUCUCAUUGCAUUCGUGACCCCAUUGAUCUUGCAACAGCCCCAUGCAUCAGUUAUUGCCAUUAUACCAUUUUACCGAUAAGGAAACUGUGGCAGGGAGGGGUCAAGCACCUUGGGUAUUUGACAGCAAAACCAAGGCUUGGUGGUAUCAUAAAACUUCCAAGUAGUAAUUCACAAAGGUGACUGGGAAAUGGAAGUGACCAGAAAUCUUUGCACUAUGAGGACAAGUUCAUGACCCUGAUACAUUCUUGUCCAGGUAGUAUAGCUCCAGACCAAAUGUCUGCGGCCACCCACCCAAAAACUUGUUGGAUAAAAAUGACUACACCUAUAGUCAAAUGAUUUUUGACAAAGGUGCCAAACAGUUAGAUAGGAAAAAGAAAGUUAUUUUCAAUAAAUGUUGCUGGAGCAACCAGAUAUCCAUAUGGAAAAAAAAUCUUGACCACCUACCUCACACCAAACACUAAUAUUAACUUGAGAUGGAUCAUAAACCUAAGUCUGAAAACUAAUAGUAAAGUUCUUGAGAAGAGAACAUGGGAGAAUGUCUUCAUGAUGUUCAGGUAGGCAAAGAUAUUUUAAGACACAAAAAAGCAAUAAGCAUAAAAUUUGUAAAGAGGUGACUGGGGCUUUAUCAAAAUUAAAAUUUAUGUGUAUUAAAAGACAUCAUGAAUAAAGGGAAAAGGGCAGCCACAGACUGGGAGAAACUCUUUACUAUACAUAUACCUAACUGAGGCUCAUAUCCAGAUUAUAUGAAGAACUCCUUCAUACUGAUACCUAGGGUCUUGAUUGCAUGCCCCGAAAUCAGUUGAUUCUUCCCUUUUGAAAUGCAUUCCCACAAGGAUCCAGCCUUUGGGAAGCCAUGCAAGUAGAGGCAGAAGUUGUUUCAGCUUCGGAAAGGGCCACUCUGCUGAGGAGUGUCCUUGACCGGCAGAGAGAAGAUGUUCCUGCAGCCAUGCUGAUUCCAGGGGGAUAUAGAAUUUGGGGCCUGGGAAUGUUUAAAAAUGAAAGCCAGUUAAUAGUUUUAUUUUUCUUUUAACAUGACAGACAGGAGAACAACCAGCAGGACUCCAGGCUUACCCUGACAUUUUUGUCAAGUAUAUGCGGGUUCUCCAGAGAGCCAGAAUCAAAAGAUGUGUGUAUAUACAGCCAUGUGUUGCAUAACAACAAAGAUACAUUCUGUGAAAUGUGUCCUUAGGCAAUUUCAUCGUUGUGCAAACAUCAUAGGGUGUAUUUGCACACACCUAGAUGGCAUAGCCUACCACACACCUGGACUAUGUGGUAUAGCUUGUCACUCCUAGGCUUUGUACAGCAUGCUACUAUACUGAAUACUGUAGGCAAUUAUAACACAAUGGUAGGUAUAUAUGUCUAUGUAGACAUAUCUAACAUAGAAAAGGUACAGUAACAAUACAGUAUAAAAAGUGAAAAUUGCACACUUAUAUAGGGCACUUCCAAUCAAUGGAGCUUGUAGAACUGGAAGUUGCUCUGGGCGAGUCCGUGAGCAACUAAGACAUUACACUGUGCG